RNAcentral lists this ribosomal RNA (993 nucleotides) under Triticum aestivum (bread wheat). RNAcentral's name for it is "partial small subunit ribosomal RNA". The record is from RNAcentral. Lineage: Eukaryota; Viridiplantae; Streptophyta; Magnoliopsida; Poales; Poaceae.
AUGGCUCAGCAGUAUGAGUACUCAGGGUUUGAGCGUCAUGAGUCGGUGCCUGAAUUGCCGGAGGAUGAACGUAUUAUAUAUAAUCUUCCAGUAGCAAAGAAGCAUAGGAAGGGACCGAGGAAAGGCAACAAAGUUGCUUCUAUGAUCCAGCCGCCUCAGCAGCCUCGGGUUCAAGAUCGUAUAGCUAUCCUCGGUGCGGCAAAAUGCCAUAUCCCCGGUCAUCCGAUCCUACCUAAGGCAGCGGUAGAGGCCAUAUAUGGUGAUCUAAGGAGACUUCAUGAUGAUGUGCUGCGGAGAGAGAAAAGCCUAAUCGCCUCAGAAAAUCCAGGAUACCCAUUGUACGUGGUUAACGUGCCACGGCAAAGGUUUUACGUCGACAUAUUCCCCGCGGAAAAUUUCUUCCUUCGAUUCGAUUACAUCUUCGACACAUUUCACUUGAAAAAGCUGGAUUUUACGUUUGUCCGCCUUUUUGCCUUGUACAUGAACUACAUUAUCGGGAUUGAGCAGAUACCUUAUAUCUGUGUCGCUGACCCGUACUUCAUGCACGAGGGCUUCUUGGCAGUCUGCCCAGAGCACCGUGAGGGACUACAUCGCGAUUUCAUGGUCGCCAAUAAGGACAAGGAGACGAUUCUCGUGCCUUAUCAUCCCAUCCACGGGAGCGCCGUCCUCAUCAUCCUUUACCCCCGAUUCUCCCACGCUCUUUGCUUGGAUUCGUCGAAGAACAUGAACAAAAGGAUUACACCCACAUCAAGUUUGUUCUUGACAGUGCUAUCUUUAUCUACGGCGUACGGGGUGGAGAGAUCAAGACCAGGAAGACAAGGAACCGCAGGUCCGCCUUCGGCCAUAAUACCGACUUCUGCUGCAUCCAGCAACCGAGUGGUACUCUUAGUGAUGGAUUCUAUGUCCUACACCACAUGCUGGAGUACAGACAGGAUUAGCAGAACCUUCGCAUGUCACCUACAUCCGGUGAUGCCCAUAUUCUGCAAUGGGUAA